This is a long non-coding RNA of Bombina bombina (fire-bellied toad), 792 nucleotides long. RefSeq lists it as uncharacterized. Lineage: Eukaryota; Metazoa; Chordata; Amphibia; Anura; Bombinatoridae. The record is from RefSeq and is a predicted model, not a curated record. The transcript is spliced from 4 exons.
UCAGAGGGAUACAUUAGUCAUCAUUCUGUUGCUUUUUUUGUUUUGUUUCACUUUCCACUCUUCUUUAUUUUCCUUUGCUCCUGAUGGCUGUCAAACUGACAUUGGAGAAGGGGUGAGGGGCUGAAGCAGCUGAAUGAGGAGGUGUUGGCAGUUUGGAUAGCUCCUGAGGGCGCAUCCGUGAGUCUUGCUGGUGACGUCACCUGUGUUCAUAUCUUCUUGUAUUGACGGAUGGAACGGAUAUGGCCUGAUAUCAAAACCUCGAUGCUCAGCUGAGAUGAUCUUAGAUGUCUCAUCGGUCAUCCAGUCUAUUGUUAGGUCUUUAUGAAUGACAGCUUCUGCUUUUGUUUUCUUUAAAAGUGUGCUCCAUUGAAGUCUAUGGGGAGAAGAAGUUAACAUGGUCGCAAUUGCUUAACUGAAGUUAGUGCGCACCGGAUUUCGCUCAGGACCGAACUAAGAAAUCAGACCAGCCCUGGAAAUUUUUGAAGACAAGCCCCAACACGCAUCCCCAGACACAGUCAAGCCACCCCUCCAGCCCAGCCAACCCACUCCCCGGCCUAGCCAUUUACCCGGGCUGUGACGGAUUCCUUCCUUCACCCAUGGCACUACUAAAAAAAUGGCUUUCACCUACCUCCCCUCACACAGAGCACACAUGUCACUCACCUCUCUCUGUGGUGAUAAAAUUGAGCAGAGCAACCGAUCUUCUUUUUAAAACAUGAGCUUUGUUUAGAAGAUUAGAUGAAUAAUUGUUGUUAUAAUGAUUAAUAAAUGUGACCAUCAUGGUCUUCUCUCCAA